GACGAACGCUGGCGGCGUGCUUAACACAUGCAAGUCGAACGGAAAGGCCCUGCUUUUGUGGGGUGCUCGAGUGGCGAACGUGUGUGUAACACGAGAGUAACCUGCCCUUGACUUUGGGAUAACUUCAGGAAACUGGGGCUAAUACCGGAUAGGAGCUCCUGCUGCAUGGUGUGGGUUGGAAAGUUUCGGCGGUUGGGGAUGGACUCGCGGCUUAUCAGCUUGUUGGUGGGGUAGUGGCUUACCAAGGCUUUGACGGGUAGCCGGCCUGAGAGGGUGACCGGCCACAUUGGGACUGAGAUACGGCCCAGACUCCUACGGGAGGCAGCAGUGGGGAAUAUUGCACAAUGGGCGGAAGCCUGAUGCAGCAACGCCGCGUGCGGGAUGACGGCCUUCGGGUUGUAAACCGCUUUCGCCUGUGACGAAGCGUGAGUGACGGUAAUGGGUAAAGAAGCACCGGCUAACUACGUG
This 468-nucleotide ribosomal RNA is filed under the name uncultured bacterium. Its description in RNAcentral is "partial 16S ribosomal RNA". It matches the Rfam family "Bacterial small subunit ribosomal RNA", at positions 28 to 507 of the family's 1533-position model. The record is from RNAcentral.